Leptinotarsa decemlineata (Colorado potato beetle) is the source of this 1813-nucleotide long non-coding RNA. NCBI's taxonomy places the organism in Eukaryota, Metazoa, Arthropoda, Insecta, Coleoptera, Chrysomelidae. The record is from RefSeq and is a predicted model, not a curated record.
AGAUCUCAAGAAUGUCCCAUCACAUGUAUUUGGACAGCAUGAAAGAUGUCAGGAGAUAUCAUAUUUCAAGUGUUCUCCAAGAUUAGAUGGAGUUGAUCAUAUACCCAGCAUGAGAGCAUGUGGUCUAUUGGACGAUAUUGAAGUUUGUAUUAACCGCUUAGUUUUCAAUGCGGCCAGCUUAAUAGCGGACUUGGAUACCAAUAUCGCUGAACAAUACAACAGCAUCAUCUGCAAGUUUGUUGGAGGUAAAAGAAUAAACUAUUCUCGUAAAAGAUCGUAUGCGACACGUUGUAAAGCUGCUGCUAUUUCAUUCAACUCUGAUGGGGACUAUUAUGAUGUUGUUGAAAAACACAAAGUUCCAUUUUAUACCAAAAGAUAUGUAGAAAAGAUGAAAAGGAGACGCCAACUUCAGAAAAUCACGAGACGCAAAAAUAAAGACCUUCCACCAAAAUUUAAGAAGAAAUAUGCUCUGCCAGAUAAGGAUUACGGCCCAGACGCUAUCCCUGAUCCUGAUUUAUCUACCGAUCAAUUCGAGCGAAAAAAAAACAAUUUCCCAAAUCAAUAAAAAAAAACUGCCGAAGAGAUAAAACUCAUUGAACUCAAUACAAGAGGUCAAUCCAAUCUGGCAAUCCUUUAUGGCAACAGGAGAGAAGUAUUCGCUUAACAGCUUCACAUUUUGGUGACAUUUGCAAGAUGUGAAAAACAACAUCUUGUGUCAAUAAGGUGAAAAACUUACUUUAUGCCACCUUCAGAGGAAACGAAAACACCAAGUAUGGAAGAGAACAUGAGCCACUCGCAAUUAGACAACUAGAGAAUGAUUUUGAUGUCGAAGUUGAACCUUGUGGAAUGUUCAUUGAUGAAUACGACUAUAUUUUUGGAGCCAGUCCUGAUGGGUUGAUAGGAGAUGACGCCAUUGUUGAGGUGAAGUGCCCCAAAACUGCGCCAAAAAUGCACCCCAAAGAAGCAAUCGAGCAAAAAAUAAUAAAUUUCUGUACUCUAGAUGAGAAUCUACACUUACAGCUAAAACAAAAUCAUAAUUAUUACUAUCAAGUACAAGGACAGCUACACAUUACUCAGCGUUCCCUGUGUUAUUUUGUAAUUUGGACUCCGUUGGGAAUUUCAGUUGAAAAGGACGAUUCAUUCUGGACGAAUAAAAUGAAACCAAAGUUGGAAAAUUUUUACAACAAUUGCCUCCUGCCCGAAUUGAUAGAUCCUAGAUACCCGAGGAAAUUGGACAUUCGCAAUCCACCACGCCAGUUAACAUACCGUUGAAAAGUCUAGUUCACAAAUGCUUUUUAGGUCAAAACUUUUUGCCGGCUCCUUAAAGUGUCAUUCGAUUCAGAAUUUUUUUCUAUUUGAUAAUAUAGGUGCAUUUUCGAAACUAGAAGGAAUUUUAUUACGACCAAUGUAGGACAACCUUUGUUGAAGAUGAAAUGAUUCUGGCAAUAGCCUCAUGAUAAUAAUAGAAUAAUAAAACAUCGUUCACCAUUGAAAAUAUUUAAACGAUUAAUUAAUCUCCAAAAGUAAAACAAUUACGCUCCGUCUAUGGAGUUUGCCGUGCCCCCUCUGUAGUGUGUGUAUUCGAGUCGCAACAACAUUAACUUGUCGAUUUGCAUAAUGAAUAUAUCCAUCAAGAUAGAUGGAUAUGUAUGUCUGUGAUUGUAAAAAUAGGACCGCCUACCAUAUUCUCAGACAUUUACCGUUAGAUGCAGUUCGAGGGUCCAGUUGCAGGUAUGGUGCGCUCUUAAAACAAGUCAUACACUGCAGAGCCUUUUAGAAAAUCCAAAUGACAAAGUCGAGAAUUCAGAAAAGU